AUGCACGAAGCUCCGUUCCCGGU
RNAcentral lists this non-coding RNA (23 nucleotides) under Cricetulus griseus (Chinese hamster). The record is from RNAcentral. Lineage: Eukaryota; Metazoa; Chordata; Mammalia; Rodentia; Cricetidae.